This 1257-nucleotide ribosomal RNA is filed under the name Triticum aestivum (bread wheat). RNAcentral's name for it is "partial small subunit ribosomal RNA". Lineage: Eukaryota; Viridiplantae; Streptophyta; Magnoliopsida; Poales; Poaceae. The record is from RNAcentral.
AUGGGAAUGUAUUGCCCAGAGUGUGCUUUCCAGGCUAGGGGGCAAGGUUUCUUCUAUAUCCAUGACUAUUGUUCUGCUGAGCAAGCUAGAGAGCGUUCAUGCAAUGUCGUCAUCACUGUCUUGAGGGGAAAUCCUACUGUUAAACAGAUGAAUGACACAUUCUUCUUGUAUUUGGGUAAAACUUGGAGGUGUUCUGCUAAGGUGCUGGAACCAUGUGUUUUUCUGAUGAGGUUUCCUAACACUAGAGAGGUGGAGAAAGCCUGCUACAGUGAUCGCAUGACUAUGAAACCAUGCGGUAGUGUAGUCAGAGUUACUCAUUGGAAUCACGAUGAUGGCGCUAAGGGAAUUCUUGAAAAAGCUUGGGUUAAGGUGGGUAAUAUCCCUAUUGAUAUAAGGAGUGAGAGAAAUGUCGCUUUCGUUGCCUCUCUUGCGGGAGUGCCUCUAGAAAUUGACAUGGCCACUCUGCAUCGGCCUGAUUCUGUGAGAGUGAAACUGGGAUGCCGUGAUGUCGAUGAGAUCACUCCAGUGGCUGAGUCAGUCCUGGGGGGGAGUUUCUAUGAUAUCACAUUUUCUGUUGAUCAAGUGCUGGUUAGAGACAACAAAAAAGAGAGCUUCAAAAACAAGACUCCUGCUGAACAGGAAGAACCCUCACCAAAAAGCAGAAGAAAACGGUUGGGGGUGUGGAUCCAAUGGGAAGCUCCUCGGCUGGGGGGGACUGUUCUGAGAGAGAAAUUUACAAAGGGGAAUGAUACUGGCCCUUCCGAGUCCCCUCUUUCUGUCAAUUCAGACAGCUCGAACCACGACACUCUCCUGAUCCACUCCACGGAACAGGAUGCUCUUGCUGAGGUAGGAAAGGAUUAUCAGGGGUGUAAUUCUGAGAUACCUACUCGGUUGGUUGCUAGUCCUAUUGGCAGUGAGAAGAGGACCAAGACUUAUGCUGAAAAAGUUAAGGAGAACAUACAAGUGACUGAAUUGGAAGGGACUUUUGGAGCCAAUGAUGAUUACAAGGUCGAGUACAGUGUUCAAUCUCUUGACUCAGCUCUUAACUGCUGCGUUGAGGUGAUUCCCACACCUCCACUUGUUUCUAAAAAUGCUCUCAGGUUCAGUUUGAGAACAGCUCGGACCAAUCUGGAGAAAGUGGAGGACAGAGCCAAAGCUGUCAACAAGAAGAGAGAUCUGGAAGCCGCCCGUCAGGCCAGGCCACGGCCCAGCCAAGCGCUAGCUGGCACUCGAGGACACCAGCCCUCAGGCGCAUGA